Long non-coding RNA from Microtus ochrogaster (prairie vole), 4246 nucleotides. RefSeq lists it as uncharacterized. The record is from RefSeq and is a predicted model, not a curated record. NCBI's taxonomy places the organism in Eukaryota, Metazoa, Chordata, Mammalia, Rodentia, Cricetidae. The transcript has 3 exons.
ACUAAACCUAUGUCUUCUGAAAGAACAACAGUUAUCUUAGCCAUUGAACCAUCUCUCCAGCCCCGCAAAAUGCCUCUUAAUGACUGCCAGAUAGUGUCACUUUAAGGAAAAUUCUUCCUUAAAUGUGUAUUAUGAUUGUGGACUCCUUUGAGGGAAUGGCAGGAGCCCCUGCCUCUCAAGUGCUGGGAUUAAGGAUUUUUUGCCACCACUGCCUGGUGACCUGCAGCUUUUAUGCAUGCGGAAUCACAAACUUACAAAACUAUCCACUGUUGAAGGAAAACUGGCACAAGUGGGUGUGAAUGUAGAUAUGUUCUCAGAAGCAUGAGGGCAGAGUUUUGCAGACUUGUUUGUUGUUUCUAGAAAGGGUUUGGGGGUUGGAGAUCUAGCUCAGUGGUAGAGCAUGGGCAAGGCUGGGGGUUGAAUCCCCAGAACUGCAAGAAGACAGAGGCAGAAGCACAAUUCUGUGAACAAGUUGAGUACCUGCCUCAGCAACUUCGCCCAACAUCACUCCUGUGUGGUUUUGCCUAUUCCACUCUUCCAUGUGCAUGUGUGUUUAUACUAAUUUUACUUGUUUCUAUAUCAACAAUUAGACUGGGAUUUGAGCUGUGCAUCUUUACUGUCUCUCUUUAUACUUUCAGCCUUUGCUGAAAUAAGGCUGAGAAUUCUCACUUUGCUUGUGAUCUGUACGAAUGUUUGCUGCUGAGUAAGAGCUCAUGAAAUGAACUAGACUAUACGUUCAUCCAGGGACACAACUGUGGUUUCUGUUUGUUUCCAUUUAGGUUAAAUAACCAAGAAAUGUUGCCAAAUAACAGAGACUCAGCUGUGAACACAAGAGCACACACUGGAACUGGCUUAUGAAGUGCAAGCCAGCUGGCCGCUUUAGGAAAAGUCUUAGGAAAAAAUAGCCCUUCCUCAUCUAAGUCAGAAAUGGAAAAUUGAAUCUCCAGGCUUAACUGGCUUCUUUUUUAUCUCGUUUGUUUGUUUGCUUGUCUGAGGUAUACUUUGCUGAAUAAUUGUGACGUCGAGAGAGUAAAACCAAGUGUGGCUUUCAAUAAAGCAUUGCUGCAACCCUCUCAACCCACUAAGGAAGAACCUAUAGAUGAAACAUUCUGUAUGCAGGCCAUGGCAGGUGACAGGAGGCAACAGGAACCUUCCUGCCUGAUUGCCCUAGUCCACAGUGGCUUCAAGAUGAAAUCCCACUGAGAGGCAGCCCUGAGCAUGCACAUAGAAGCUGAAUGUGAGAGAGAUGGUCCAGUCUUCAUCAUAUGAAGCAGAGCUCGACUGUGAAAAGGUGCAAGUAUUACUGAACAAAACGAUGGUUCACUUCGGAUAAGCAUUCAAUAAGAUGAUUUGCAGAACCUGGGUAUUUGAUAUGCUGGGAAAUUGCUCCUAUUUGACCUCAUACAAAAUGGAGUUUCCCAUGGUAAGUUUGAAGGUAUCUUCCAUGUUACUCUUUUACGGUAUGAUGUCUGGGAGUCUUUCAUUCAAACUUCAUCUCAUAGGGUCAUAUAUAAGGGAACCUUAAAAAUAACCUUUUCAUGGGACGUAAAUAGAACCUCACUUAUCCCAUAGUCUACCUGGUGUUUGGACUAUAGUGAUUCUGAAGUGUGUAUCUGCGCAUAGAGUUGACACAAAUUUAAUUCCCUGCUAAAUCAGGAAAUAAGUAUUUGACCUUUGUUCUUGUUACUGUCUUGGUAAGUUUAGCAAAUGGAUAUUAUCUUUCAGUAGCAAGAAUUGCUAACUAUUUAAUGGCAAUCAAUAUAUUACAUGAACUCUAAAAUUAAUGCCUGGCAGAGAGGAUGGUUAAAAGAACAAUAUACUUUCAACGAAUGAAGUUUGUGACUUUGGAACGUAACUGCAGUAUUAGACAGGGAAAUUAGGCAUUUUUCUUGACUUGUCAUGUGUUGUAGUUUCUUUUUGAGACAGGGUCUACGACAGCCUGUUGAAUAACUGGACAAGUAUGUCCACCAUCACUCCUGGCUAGAUUUUUCUUUUGACUGCAGUAGGUGUCUGUUCUGCUUUGCUGGAGAAUUUUCCAGAAAACAUUUUUACAAGGAACACUUUUUAAAAAAGAGUUUAGAAGGUGCAGAAUUCACAGUCACCAACGGGAGAAAGCAGCACAGGGGCUUUCUACCAUCUACUGAUGAACACCAUCUACUGAUGAACAGAUAAAGCCAAUGUGGGAAAUUGAUAGGACAGAAUACACCAUCACUGUAUUGAAAUUCUUCUUCCAUAAAACUUAAAGACAUUAUGCAAAGUGAAAUGACAAUUACAAGAGACCAAUGUCACAUGAUUCAGCCUUUGUGAAGUGGCCGGAAGGGUCACGUUCACAUCCAUACAACGCGGAAUGCUGGCUUCCAGGGAUAGGAGAAACGGGAAAUGAGAAGUUAAGGUCUAGUGGACACAGAGUUUCCACUGAGAGAUGAAAAUGUUCUGGGGGUGGAUUAAGGUACUGGCUGCACAGCAAAGUGAAUGGAUGUAAAGCCACACAAUAUCUGCUGCUUAAAACUGGUUAAAAUGGCAAAUUAUGUGUUACAUAUAUUUUACCACAGUUUAGAAAAAUGAAAGGACAAAGUUUAAACUUAUUUCAAUUAUAUCUUCAUGCUUGGCCUUUUUCUUAAUUUCAGAUGGGGUAAGCUCAGCUUUCCUAAAUUCUAAGUUUUUACUCCUCUCAUAUUUAGUAGCAUGUGCGUGGAAGCUUUCUGUUUGUUUUAGCUUGUGUAUCUUUCUUGGCAGGCCCUUCAUAUUAGGAUACACCAUUGUGCCUUUGAAUUCAGAACUAGCAGAGUUAAUUAACUUUGAAUUUAUUUUAUAAUUUCAAGUGUUAAAUAUAAAUUUAAAAGAGCAGUAUUCCAUCUUUGAAAAUUGCCUUUUGGAAACAUGUAUACAUCCCCAUUUACAUUAAAGAUAGGAACAUUCCAUGGCCUUUUGUAUUUUGGAUAUAUUUAGAGGUUCAUGUUUAGGUAGUAAGUUGAAGAUACUUACGAAAUAGUUUCUUCCUUGCUACAGCCAAUCUCUCUAACUGUCUCCCAUUUUUCCUAAUAAUGUUUAACUGUUUCUGUGUCACUUUUCUGUAGUGCCUUAAAAGUCUUAUUUUUCCAAUUUAUUUUUGUCAUAAUAAUUUUCAAGAUUACCUUUUUGUGUCAAAAUUUCAAGGCAAUGAUACCAGUGUGGGAAUAAUUGUACUGUUGUUGCUGAAAUGUACAAUAACCUAUCAGGUGUUUAUAAUGAAGCUUCCCCUCCAAACGCUUGUGUGACAUUUAUCUCAGGCAUUUACACAAUGAUGCUAAAAGGUAGGUGAGUGCCCAGGAUUGAAAGUAUCCAGGCAUAUUAUUGAUGGACUCUAAAAUUCUUUAGCAUGAGCCUUUUAAUGUUAAUACUUACUAACAUUCAUUUGAAAAUGUCAGGAUUGUCUAAUUUUAGAGAUAAAUCAAUUUAGGAUAAAACAAUUGCUGCUCGGAAUACUUAAUAACUCGUGAUGCUGCCUUGAGUUUAGAGGUGGAAACUUUCAAGGUGCAGGCAGAAAUGCACACGGCAGCUUACGGACAGUUCAUAAGGGGUGAAUAGCAGCAGAGCCAGGUUCACCCAAAUCUAUUUCAAAACGGAGAGUUUGACAUAUUCCUCAGAGGCCAUCAUCUCGGUGAGACGAAUUCCGUGGUGGAGAGUUCGUGUCUGUCGUCCAGAGGGUCAGUGUUUCCUCUCAAGUCUUGUGACUGUCCUUCCAUUCAAUACGGGUGGAGGACAAAUGUUUUUUUUUUUUUUCAAACGAUGAGAGUAUCCGUUCUGUAGUUACUGCUCAUGAAAGCUAGGCUCGUGGGGCCAGGGGACAAGAAAAACAAAAGCACUUCAAUCAAAGAACUCAAAACCUUUGUUUUCACAGCCUCGUGGCCAAUUGUAUUAGACUCGACCUUAUAUGUGGAUGUUUGUAGCUUUCACUAAAAAUACUAGCAUGUGACUUCAGGUGUCAGUGCAAAUCCUUCCAUGUGUGUCAGAUGCUUCUGAAUUCCCAAAUACCCUUGGCUAUAAGAUCUGUAGGACGAUCUUAUAUAUUGUCCUACAGAUAUAUAAGAUCUACUGUAAAUCUCAAUACUGCCGCAACUAAGUAAUGACAGUAUCUCCUGAAAUAUGUGUUGUCUGGAGACUGUGGAGAUGGCUCUUCAGCUAAGAACAUUGACUGCUCUUCCACAGGACUCAGUCUCUAUUUCCAGCACCCAUGUCAGGUGGCUCACAACAGCCUGUAACUCCA